Dicentrarchus labrax (European seabass) is the source of this 844-nucleotide long non-coding RNA. RefSeq lists it as uncharacterized. Lineage: Eukaryota; Metazoa; Chordata; Actinopteri; Moronidae. The transcript is spliced from 8 exons. The record is from RefSeq and is a predicted model, not a curated record.
AACGAGUCCGAGACGAAGCGCUGGAACGUCUGCAGACACAGGAAGGCUGUCCUCCCCGUCUGACAGACAGGUUACAGACAGACAGGUUACAGACAGACAGGAAGGCUGUCCUCCCCGUCUGACAGACAGGUUACAGACAGACAGGUUACAGAGAGACAGGAAGGCUGUCCUCCCCGUCUGACAGACAGGUUACAGACAGACAGGUUACAGAGAGACAGGAAGGCUGUCCUCCCCGUCUGACAGACAGGUUACAGACAGACAGGUUACAGAGAGACAGGAAGGCUGUCCUCCCCGUCUGACAGACAGGUUACAGACAGACAGGUUACAGACAGACAGGUUACAGACAGACAGGAAGGCUGUCCUCCCCGUCUGACAGACAGGUUACAGACAGACAGGUUACAGACAGACAGGAAGGCUGUCCUCCCCGUCUGACAGACAGGUUACAGACAGACAGGUUACAGACAGACAGGAAGGCUGUCCUCCCCGUCUGACAGACAGGUUACAGACAGACAGGUUACAGACAGACAGGAAGGCUGUCCUCCCCGUCUGACAGACAGGUUACAGACAGACAGGUUACAGACAGACAGGAAGGCUGUCCUCCCCGUCUGACAGACAGGUUACAGACAGACAGGUUACAGAGAGACAGGUUACAGACAGACAGGAAGGCUGUCCUCCCCGUCUGACAGACAGGUUACAGAGAGACAGGAAGGCUGUCCUCCCCGUCUGAUAGACAGGUUACAGAGAGACAGGUUACAGACAGACAGGAAGGCUGUCCUCCCCGUCUGAUAGACAGGUUACAGAGAGACAGGUUACAGACAGACAGGAAGGCUGUCCUCCCUGUCUG